CCCUGCCCUGCCAGUCCUAGGGCAUUGGCCUCAUGAUUGCUGUUCCUGUGCACUGAACUCAGGGCCUCCGUCUCCAUAAGUUGAUCGUUAUUCCUAAAUAAUUUCAAAUUGGUCUCCCAUUAACUCCAUGAUUUGAGUUUAGCAACUCCUACCUUUGGUGGAUUCCUCUGGCAUCUUCACAAAGACAGAGGGUCGUCUUAGCUCUGCCUUACCCCAAGCUGUGCUGCCACCAUGGAUAAAUAGCCUGUAGUCUUCCUCUUCUUCAGCACUUUACCUACAGCAGUGCUUGUGCCUGGAGCAGAGCUCUGUUCUAGCCACAGAUUACUCACACCUGCUUCAGGUCAUUUUGCUUUUAAAUAUCCUUCAUGGUGAGAUGCUAAAGUUUCGUAAUGAAGGUUUUAAAUAGCUUCUUCCUGGUUGUAAAAGUUCAUUCCAGGAAACAAUAUUGGAACUGGGAACUGGUGGGGCUGUGAAGGCUGUAGCCCUUGCUCUAGGCAUUUCCCCUUCUCAGAGCUGGAGAUGACUCACUACCCCAGCAUUUGCCUGUUUCACUGAUGAGGCUUUACCUCCCUUUCAAUUUGAGGUGUGCUUAGGGAAAGCAAGCCGAGGUGCUGCGCAUAACAACUCCAGACUGUGGCUAAGUGAUCGUGUGAUGGAGCCAUCAGUCCAGGACUCUCUCAUGGUCCAGCUCCGACAUUUACAAAACGUCUGACUAUGAGUUGCUCACCUUCUGAACUCAGCCAUCAUGCUGUAAGAAACCCGAGCCGUAUGCAGAAGUGUGGUGGAGGUGACCUGGUUGACAGUGCGAGCUGACCUCUGAUCUUCCAGUCUCCUAGCCAUCAACGAAAAAUGGAUUCUAUCAUCACGAUCAUCAUCAUGGACAUAACAGUGGAGGAAGACAGAGUACGCUGAAAGAAACAGAUUCAACAGAGCUUCCAAACUUGUGCACAGUGUAAUAUUAAAUUUGCAUUUCCUUCCUUUCCUUCCAAUCUAUCUAAAUUUGUUAUUUUGCAUAUAGGAGAUAUUCAGUGCUUUUUUUUUUUUUUUUUUUGCUGAGGAAGAUGCACCUGAGCUAACAUCCAUUGCCAAUCUUCCUUUCUUUCUAUGUGAGCUCCAACCACACCAUGGACACUGAUGAAGUGGUAUAGGUCUGUGCCCAGGAACUGAACCUGGGCCAUGGAAGCAGAGCAUGCCAAACUUAACCUCUAGGUCAUGGGGCUGGCCCACAGUGCACUUUUUUAAAGAAAAUGAAGCUGUCCCUUGGUUUCAUCUUAUAUAAAAGGUCAGAACUGAAUUAGAAUAUUUCUAAGCUCUCUGUGAAACAGCUUCAUUUGUUAGAAAAAAUUAUAACGUUUGGAAGCAACAGACCUACAUUUGAAUCCUAGUUCUGAAGUGUACAGGUCAUGUUAUCUAUUUUCUCUGGGCCGCUGUGACUUCAUCUGUAAAUGAAUCUGCAUUAUAUUGAUCUAAAUUGAAGGACUGUUGGGCAGCAAAACCUGACAUAGAGUAAGCACCCAACAAAAGGUACUAGGACAACUACUUAUAAAUAUGAAAAAAAGAAAGGCUCUUCACACAGAAGAUACUGUGCUUUGCUUUUUUUUCCCUUUAAUGUGUACUAUUUACAGACCUACCAGAAACUAUUUAAAAAUUUUAAUAUGAGCUGCUAUGUUAGUGCAUGCAUUUUGGCCACCAUAUGCAAUAUUGUUUCCGUUUUUAUUUUCCCACCAAUAUAUUGCCUAUGAUGUUAGCAUAUUUUUUUGUUUUGUUUUAGUGGUCAUGGUAUAAUGAACAAAUGCAUUAAAUAAAUAAUAAAAACAAAUGCAAUAAAGCUUGGUACAUCGUAAGUGAUCAGUUAGUGUUAGUUAUUAUGAUCGUAUUCACAUCUACAUGAUUCAUUUAUAAGGCAUGAUAUUAAGAUAGCAACCAAAUCCAGAACUUGAAAUUACAAAACAAGCAAGGAAUAUUAAAUGCAGUGUUCAUUUAUCUCUGUUUCAUAGAGCAAUCAAAACACACUUUAUUUUCUAGGAUUAUAUUUAAAUAAGUUAUUGACAUUUUAUUUUUGAGGUGAAUCUUUCGUAUAUAGGACAUUGAGAACAUGAAACAGUAAUGUUAUUAGAAAAACAGUUAAGAGUUACCAUCAGGAGUUUCACAGAAGAGUUUAUUCUAAUCAUUAAAUAACAAUUGUUUGAUCUACUUUGUGUUUACUUACGAUAUCUUUAAAAUGAAAUUGUUCUUUUUAAUGUCUCAAAAAUAAACAUACAUAU
Molecule: long non-coding RNA, 2264 nt
Filed under: Equus asinus (donkey)
Lineage: Eukaryota; Metazoa; Chordata; Mammalia; Perissodactyla; Equidae
Description: lncRNA (ENSEASG00005038720.1)
Source: RNAcentral